UACGUAGGGUGCAAGCGUUGUCCGGAAUUAUUGGGCGUAAAGAGCUCGUAGGCGGUUUGUCGCGUCUGCUGUGAAAACCCGAGGCUCAACCUCGGGCCUGCAGUGGGUACGGGCAGACUAGAGUGCGGUAGGGGAGACUGGAAUUCCUGGUGUAGCGGUGAAAUGCGCAGAUAUCAGGAGGAACACCGGUGGCGAAGGGCGGGGUCUCUGGGGCCGUAACUGACGCUGAGGAGCGAAAGCGUGGGGAGCGAACAGGA
RNAcentral lists this ribosomal RNA (257 nucleotides) under uncultured bacterium. Its description in RNAcentral is "partial 16S ribosomal RNA". It matches the Rfam family "Bacterial small subunit ribosomal RNA", at positions 524 to 777 of the family's 1533-position model. The record is from RNAcentral.